UUCCGGUUGAUCCUGCCGGACCCGACUGCUAUUUGGGUGAGGAUAAGCCAUGCGAGUUGAAUGGGAUACCCAAAGUUCCCAUGGCAAACUGCUCAGUAACACAUGAUCAACUUACCCUAUAGAGGAAAAUAACCUCGGGAAACUGAGGAUAAUAUUCCAUAGUUGAAUCGGCUUGGAAAAGUUUUUCAAUAAAAGGGAUAAGGAAAAUGGUUCUUAUCUGCUAUAGGAUAGGAUCGUGUUCGAUUAUGGUUGUUGGUGAGGUAAAGGCUCACCAAGCCGAUAAUCGAUAGGGGCCGUGAGAGCGGGAGCCCCGAGAUGGGUACUGAGACAACGACCCAGGCCUUACGAGGCGCAGCAGGCGCGAAACCUCCGCAAUACACGAAAGUGUGACGGGGUUACCCAAAGUGUUCUAUUUAGAACUGUGGUAGGUGAGUAAUGUCCCCUACUAGAAAGGAGAGGGCAAGGCUGGUGCCAGCCGCCGCGGUAAAACCAGCUCUUCAAGUGGUCGGGAUAAUUAUUGGGCUUAAAGUGUCCGUAGCCGGUUUAGUAAGUUCCUGGUAAAAUCGGGUAGCUUAACUAUCUAUAUGCUAGGAAUACUGCUAUACUAGAGGGCGGGAGAGGUCUGAGGUACUACAGGGGUAGGGGUGAAAUCUUAUAAUCCUUGUAGGACCACCAGUGGCGAAGGCGUCAGACUGGAACGCGCCUGACGGUGAGGGACGAAAGCCAGGGGAGCGAACCGGAUUAGAUACCCGGGUAGUCCUGGCCGUAAACGAUGCAUACUAUGUGAUGGCACGGCCAUGAGCCGUGUCAGUGCCGUAGGGAAACCGUUAAGUGUGCCGCCUGGGAAGUACGUCGCAAGGCUAAAACUUAAAAGGAAUUGGCGGGGGAGCACCACAAGGGGUGAAGCCCUGCGGUUCAAUUGGAGUCAACGCCGGGA
This 937-nucleotide ribosomal RNA is filed under the name uncultured archaeon. RNAcentral's name for it is "bacterial SSU rRNA". It matches the Rfam family "Archaeal small subunit ribosomal RNA", at positions 1 to 923 of the family's 1478-position model. The record is from RNAcentral.